Molecule: ribosomal RNA, 447 nt
Filed under: uncultured bacterium
Lineage: Bacteria
Description: SSU rRNA
Rfam family: Bacterial small subunit ribosomal RNA
Source: RNAcentral
AGAGCGAACGCUGGCGGCAGGCUUAACACAUGCAAGUCGAGCGGGCGUAGAAAUACGUCAGCGGCAGACGGGUGAGUAACGCGUGGGAACAUACCUUUUGGUUCGGAACAACCCAGGGAAACUUGGGCUAAUACCGGAUAAGCCCUUACGGGGAAAGAUUUAUCGCCGAAAGAUCGGCCCGCGUCUGAUUAGCUAGUUGGUGGGGUAAUGGCCCACCAAGGCGACGAUCAGUAGCUGGUCUGAGAGGAUGAUCAGCCACAUUGGGACUGAGACACGGCCCAAACUCCUACGGGAGGCAGCAGUGGGGAAUAUUGGACAAUGGGCGCAAGCCUGAUCCAGCCAUGCCGCGUGAGUGAUGAAGGCCCUAGGGUUGUAAAGCUCUUUUGUGCGGGAAGAUAAUGACGGUACCGCAAGAAUAAGCCCGGCUAACUUCGUGCCAGCAGCCGC